AGUGAACGCUGGCGGUAGGCCUAACACAUGCAAGUCGAACGGCAGCACAGGAGAGCUUGCUCUCUGGGUGGCGAGUGGCGGACGGGUGAGGAAUACAUCGGAAUCUACUCUGUCGUGGGGGAUAACGUAGGGAAACUUACGCUAAUACCGCAUACGACCUACGGGUGAAAGCAGGGGACCUUCGGGCCUUGCGCGAUUGAAUGAGCCGAUGUCGGAUUAGCUAGUUGGCGGGGUAAAGGCCCACCAAGGCGACGAUCCGUAGCUGGUCUGAGAGGAUGAUCAGCCACACUGGAACUGAGACACGGUCCAGACUCCUACGGGAGUCAGCAGUGGGGAAUAUUGGACAAUGUGCGCAAGCCUGAUCCAGCCAUACCGCGUGGGUGAAGAAGGCCUUCGGGUUGUAAAGCCCUUUUGUUGGGAAAGAAAUCCAGCUGGCUAAUACCCGGUUGGGAUGACGGUACCCAAAGAAUAAGCACCGGCUAACUUCGUGCCAGCCGCCGCAGUAA
This 506-nucleotide ribosomal RNA is filed under the name uncultured bacterium. RNAcentral's name for it is "partial 16S ribosomal RNA". It matches the Rfam family "Bacterial small subunit ribosomal RNA", at positions 29 to 523 of the family's 1533-position model. The record is from RNAcentral.